ACCAACAGGGAUUGCCCUAGUAACGGCGAGUGAAGCGGCAACAGCUCAAAUUUGAAAUCUGGCUCUUUUAGGGUCCGAGUUGUAAUUUGCAGAGGGCGCUUUGGCUUUGGUAGCGGUCCAAGUUCCUUGGAACAGGACGUCACAGAGGGUGAGAAUCCCGUACGUGGUCGCUAGCUAUUGCCGUGUAAAGCCCCUUCGACGAGUCGAGUUGUUUGGGAAUGCAGCUCUAAAUGGGAGGUAAAUUUCUUCUAAAGCUAAAUAUUGGCCAGAGACCGAUAGCGCACAAGUAGAGUGAUCGAAAGAUGAAAAGCACUUUGGAAAGAGAGUCAAACAGCACGUGAAAUUGUUGAAAGGGAAGCGCUUGCAGCCAGACUUGCUUGCAGUUGCUCAUCCGGGCUUUUGCCCGGUGCACUCUUCUGUAGGCAGGCCAGCAUCAGUUUGGGCGGUGGGAUAAAGGUCUCUGACACGUUCCUUCCUUCGGGUUGGCCAUAUAGGGGAGACGUCAUACCACCAGCCUGGACUGAGGUCCGCGCAUCUGCUAGGAUGCUGGCGUAAUGGCUGUAAGCGGCCCGUCUUGAAACACGGACCAAGGAGUCUAACAUCUAUGCGAGUGUUUGGGUGUCAAGCCCGAGCGCGUAAUGAAAGUGAACGGAGGUGGGAACCCGCAAGGGCGCACCAUCGACCGAUCCUGAAGUUUACGGAAGGAUUUGAGUAAGAGCAUGGCUGUUGGGACCCGAAAGAUGGUGAACUAUGCUUGAAUAGGGUGAAGCCAGAGGAAACUCUGGUGGAGGCUCGCAGCGGUUCUGACGUGCAAAUCGAUCGUCAAAUUUGGGCAUAGGGGCGAAAGACUAAUCGAACUAUCUAGUAGCUGGUUCCUGCC
This 880-nucleotide ribosomal RNA is filed under the name Curvularia ravenelii. RNAcentral describes it as "eukaryotic LSU rRNA". It matches the Rfam family "Eukaryotic large subunit ribosomal RNA", at positions 64 to 962 of the family's 3401-position model. The record is from RNAcentral. Lineage: Eukaryota; Fungi; Ascomycota; Dothideomycetes; Pleosporales; Pleosporaceae.